This 735-nucleotide ribosomal RNA is filed under the name uncultured marine bacterium. Its description in RNAcentral is "bacterial SSU rRNA". It matches the Rfam family "Bacterial small subunit ribosomal RNA", at positions 97 to 869 of the family's 1533-position model. The record is from RNAcentral.
GGCAGACGGGUGAGUAACAUGUAGGUAUCUACCCUUUGGCCUGGAAUAACACGAGGAAACUUGUGCUAAUACCGGAUAAGUCUUUACGGAGAAAGCUUUAUGCACCAUUGGAUGAGCCUGCACUUGAUUAGUUUGUUGGUGGGGUAAUGGCCUACCAAGACUGUGAUCAAUAGCUGAUUUGAGAGGAUGAUCAGCCACAUUGGGACUGAGACACGGCCCAAACUCCUACGGGAGGCAGCAGUGGGGAAUCUUGCACAAUGGAGGAAACUCUGAUGCAGCGAUGCCGCGUGAGUGAAGAAGGCCCUUGGGUUGUAAAGCUCUUUCGUCGGGGAAGAAAAUGACUGUACCCGAAUAAGAAGGUCCGGCUAACUUCGUGCCAGCAGCCGCGGUAAUACGAAGGGACCUAGCGUAGUUCGGAAUUACUGGGCUUAAAGAGUUCGUAGGUGGUUGAAAAAGUUGGUGGUGAAAUCCCAGAGCUUAACUCUGGAACUGCCAUCAAAACUUUUCAGCUAGAGUAUGAUAGAGGAAAGCAGAAUUUCUAGUGUAGAGGUGAAAUUCGUAGAUAUUAGAAAGAAUACCAAUUGCGAAGGCAGCUUUCUGGAUCAUUACUGACACUGAGGAACGAAAGCAUGGGUAGCGAAGAGGAUUAGAUACCCUCGUAGUCCAUGCCGUAAACGAUGUGUGUUAGACGUUGGAAAUUUAUUUUCAGUGUCGCAGCGAAAGCGAUAAACACAC